This 319-nucleotide ribosomal RNA is filed under the name Merlinius joctus. Its description in RNAcentral is "SSU rRNA". It matches the Rfam family "Eukaryotic small subunit ribosomal RNA", at positions 110 to 455 of the family's 1831-position model. The record is from RNAcentral. Lineage: Eukaryota; Metazoa; Nematoda; Chromadorea; Rhabditida; Merliniidae.
UCCCUUUUCCGGAGGCUAAUGCCCAAACUGGGGUAAUUCUAAAGCUAAUACCUGCACCACAGUCCGACCUUACGGGAAGACGCAUUUAUUCGAACAAAACCAAGCGGCUUCGGCCGUCCGCAGUGACUCAGAAUAACUAAGCUGAUCGCAUGGCUUGAACCGGCGACGUGUCUUUCAGGAUGUGCCUUAAAACUUUCGAUGGAGUGUAUCUGACUACCAUGGGGUGACGGGUAACGGAGGAUAAGGGUCGACUCCGAAGGGGCCUGAGAAUGGCCACUACGCUAAGGAUGCAGCGGGCCGCAAUUACCCCUCUCAGAAU